AAUAGAUACCCCGGUAGUCCGCGCCGUAAACGGUGGGCACUAGGUGUGGGCGACAUUCCACGUCGUCCGUGCCGCAGCUAACGCAUUAAGUGCCCCGCCUGGGGAGUACGGCCGCAAGGCUAAAACUCAAAGGAAUUGACGGGGGGCCCGCACAAGCGGCGGAGCAUGUGGCUUAAUUCGACGCAACGCGAAGAACCUUACCAAAGCUUGACAUACACCGGAAACGUCCAGAGAUGGGCGCCCCCUUGUGGUCGGUGUACAGGUGGUGCAUGGCUGUCGUCAGCUCGUGUCGUGAGAUGUUGGGUUAAGUCCCGCAACGAGCGCAACCCUUGUCCCGUGUUGCCAGCAGGCCCUUGUGGUGCUGGGGACUCACGGGAGACCGCCGGGGUCAACUCGGAGGAAGGUGGGGACGACGUCAAGUCAUCAUGCCCCUUAUGUCUUGGGCUGCACACGUGCUACAAUGGCCGGUACAAUGAGCUGCGAUGCCGCGAGGUGGAGCGAAUCUCAAAAAGCCGGUCUCAGUUCGGAUUGGGGU
Molecule: ribosomal RNA, 535 nt
Filed under: uncultured bacterium
Lineage: Bacteria
Description: bacterial SSU rRNA
Rfam family: Bacterial small subunit ribosomal RNA
Source: RNAcentral